GCUGUUUGUCUCCCAGGCGCAGCGGGCCACACCUGGACAGGAUGCUAAGCCUGGAUGCAGCUGACUCACCACAGGCCCGACGCCACUCCCCGCCCCACUAGUGUCGCCAACUCCGGAGGACAAGCCGCUGAUUUCAGGGUGCCCAUUAGAAUGGAAGGCCCUUGAAAAAUCCCCAAGCAGGCAAAAGAGCAUUGUAAGCAAAGCAACCCCACACUCCGUCUCUUCCUCCUCUCCAGAGAAAACUUCAGGGAAACAAGACGCCAAUGAAUGCCUAAACAAACACCCUCAUGCCAAGACUUUCUGGGCACACACGGUCAUUUCCCAUCAGAGUCAGUUCCCAGCUGCCGACCAGUCAACAACAUCUAAUCAGAGCCAUGGAUGUCCUGCAAGUCACUUGCUUUGCAACUAUCUCCAAAAUAGGUUAUCCUGACUGUCAUCUUCUGGGGGCUGCUGUAAACUAGAUUUCUCUUAGAAAUCAAUCAAGGC
This 486-nucleotide long non-coding RNA is filed under the name Homo sapiens (human). RNAcentral describes it as "HSALNT0144030". The record is from RNAcentral. Lineage: Eukaryota; Metazoa; Chordata; Mammalia; Primates; Hominidae.